AUUGAACGCUGGCGGCAUGCUUUACACAUGCAAGUCGAACGGCAGCGGGGCGUUCGCCUGCCGGCGAGUGGCGAACGGGUGAGUAAUGCAUCGGAACGUGCCCAGUCGUGGGGGAGUAACACAUCGAAAGAUGUGCUAAUACCGCAUACGUCCUGAGGGAGAAAGCGGGGGAGUCUUCGGACCUCGCGCGAUUGGAGCGGCCGAUGUCGGAUUAGCUAGUUGGUGGGGUAAAGGCCCACCAAGGCGACGAUCCGUAGCGGGUCUGAGAGGAUGAUCCGCCACACUGGGACUGAGACACGGCCCAGACUCCUACGGGAGGCAGCAGUGGGGAAUUUUGGACAAUGGGGGCGAACCCUGAUCCAGCCAUGCCGCGUGAGUGAAGAAGG
This 386-nucleotide ribosomal RNA is filed under the name uncultured bacterium. RNAcentral's name for it is "bacterial SSU rRNA". It matches the Rfam family "Bacterial small subunit ribosomal RNA", at positions 28 to 414 of the family's 1533-position model. The record is from RNAcentral.